UUUAUUACUAUAUAUUUUGGAGAGUGAUACUUUAGUGUUUUAUUUAAAUAAUUAACAGUUGACAUAAAUGCAUAUGGAUAUGUACAAUUUAUUUUAUUAUUAUUAUUACUACUAUUGUUAUUAUUAUUACUAUUAUUGUUAUUAUUACUACUACUAUUGUUAUUAUUAUUACUAUUAUUGUUAUUAUUAUUACUAUUAUUGUUAUUAUUACUACUAUUGUUACUAUUAUUACUAUUAUUGUUAUUAUUACUAUUAUUGUUAUUUCUUUUUUUUUUCUUGCUAUUAGAUAUAAUUAUGACGUACUGGAAAAUAACAAUUUGUUCGUUAAUUUGCUGCCAAAUAAUAAAUAUAUCUUUUCAAUAUGUUCUAAUAUUUAUAAUUCAUAUUACAAUGUUUUACAUGGACAUAACAAAACGUCAACUAUAAAAUAUAUUACGUCUACAUUAGGUCUAAGAACAUAUAUUAUUUCAAAUAAUAUUAAGGAUAUUAAAAAUUACAUACUCGGGUCUAUUCAUCUAGGAUAUGCUUUAAUUUUUAAAAACAUUGACAAAGUUAAAGUUGAAAUGUUAUCAGUGUUAACAAACACUUUUAGGUCUAUUCAAACAUGUAAGAAACUCUUUUUAAAAAAAAGUUAUACAACUAAAUAAAUGUAGAUGUUUAUUAUAAAAAUGGGUGCAUUAAUGUAUAUGCAUCUGUAUGUGUGAUAAUGCAUAAGG
Molecule: long non-coding RNA, 716 nt
Filed under: Piliocolobus tephrosceles (Ugandan red Colobus)
Lineage: Eukaryota; Metazoa; Chordata; Mammalia; Primates; Cercopithecidae
Description: lncRNA (ENSPTEG00000009746.1)
Source: RNAcentral